CGGUAAUCCUGGUAUUUUGUGUUAAUUGUUUUUCUCAGGCAGGAGACCUCCUGUGAUUUACAUUCUGGAGCAGUGGGAUGACGGAUUGUGCCAGACAGCUCGUCACCUCUGGAGAAGACGAGCAGGGUCGUGACAGCUGCCCUGGAAAUGAAAGGGGAGAUAAGGAAGCUGAGGCCCAGAGAAGUAAAGAAGCUCACCCGAGGUCCCAUCGUCCACAAGAGGAGGAGUUGGGAUUUGCACAGAGGUCUUCUGGUGCUGGAAUCUGAGGUUUUGACCAUUAUUCUAUGUUGCCUCCCGAGGGCAAACUGGCAGAGGAAGUCUGCUGAGGAAAAGUUCUUGGUGGAAGUUCCCACUCCUGAAAACAAAAUGUUUCUCCUUCACCGUCUUCACAGCUGGCCGAGGGAGAGGCAUAGAAAGAGCCCAGGGGAUACAGGAAAAAAAUACUGUGAUGAACUCUCCUCCGUAUUUGGAAUUAUUCUCUUUGGAGAGACUCUAACAUAGAGUGAGUUCUAGUACCACAGCAGUGUUGUGAACCUCUAUUUUUCUUUCUUUGAUUAUUUUCUUCAUUUCUCAAAAUGUUAGGAAGAGAUUUGAAGACAAGGUGGUCCGAAUUCACAGCCUGGGAGAGGUAUGAAUUCAAAAUAAAUAUUUAUGUCCAGGAAAAAAAAUAUCUAAGCAAGCCUAUAUGUAAAAU
This 694-nucleotide long non-coding RNA is filed under the name Mustela putorius furo (domestic ferret). Its description in RNAcentral is "lncRNA (ENSMPUG00000029073.1)". Lineage: Eukaryota; Metazoa; Chordata; Mammalia; Carnivora; Mustelidae. The record is from RNAcentral.